CCUACGGGCGGCAGCAGUGGGGAAUAUUGCGCAAUGGGCGAAAGCCUGACGCAGCGACGCCGCGUGAGGGAUGAAGGUCUUCGGAUCGUAAACCUCUGUCAGCAGGGAAGAACGGUCAGUGGGCUAAUCAGCAGUGAAUUGACGGUACCUGCAAAGGAAGCACCGGCUAACUCCGUGCCAGCAGCCGCGGUAAUACGGAGGGUGCGAGCGUUAAUCGGAAUUAAGGGGCGGAAAGCGCUCGUAGGCGGUAUGUCAAGUCAAGGGUGAAAUCCCCGCGCUCCACGUGGUAACGGCCUUUGAAACUUGCAAACUGGAGUGUGUGCGAGGCUAGUUGAAUUCCAGGUGU
This 346-nucleotide ribosomal RNA is filed under the name uncultured bacterium. RNAcentral describes it as "partial 16S ribosomal RNA". It matches the Rfam family "Bacterial small subunit ribosomal RNA", at positions 338 to 676 of the family's 1533-position model. The record is from RNAcentral.